RNAcentral lists this ribosomal RNA (460 nucleotides) under uncultured bacterium. Its description in RNAcentral is "partial 16S ribosomal RNA". It matches the Rfam family "Bacterial small subunit ribosomal RNA", at positions 338 to 795 of the family's 1533-position model. The record is from RNAcentral.
CCUACGGGUGGCAGCAGUGAGGAAUAUUGGUCAAUGGACGCAAGUCUGAACCAGCCAUGCCGCGUGCAGGAAGACGGCUCUAUGAGUUGUAAACUGCUUUUGUACGAGGGUAAAUCCCGAUACGUGUAUCGGGUUGAAAGUAUCGUACGAAUAAGGAUCGGCUAACUCCGUGCCAGCAGCCGCGGUAAUACGUAGGGGGCAAGCGUUGUCCGGAAUGACUGGGCGUAAAGGGAGUGUAGGCGGCUCAUCAAGUUAGAUGUGAAAUCCCGCGGCUUAACCGCGGAACUGCAUCUAAAACUGGUAAGCUGGAGUGCAGGAGAGGUGAGUGGAAUUCCUAGUGUAGCGGUGGAAUGCGUAGAUAGUAGGAGGAACACCAGAGGCGAAGGCGACUCACUGGACUGUAACUGACGCUGAGGCUCGAAAGCGUGGGGAGCAAACAGGAUUAGAUACCCUGGUAGUC